GAUGAAGAACGCAGUGAAAUGCGAUAAGUAAUGUGAAUUGCAGAAUUCAGUGAAUCAUCGAAUCUUUGAACGCACCUUGCGCCCUUUGGCUAUUCCGAAGGGCAUGCCUGUUUGAGUAUCAUGAACACCUCAACUCUCAUGGCUUGCUGUGAUGAGCUUGGAAUUUGGGGGUCUUGUUGGCUUGUGAGCCAGCUCCUCCUAAAUGAAUUAGCUUGCCGGUGUUUGGUGGCAUCACAGGUGUGAUAACUAUCUACUCUUGUGGUUUCCCAUCAGGUAACCUCCAGUGAUGGAGGUUCGCUGGGGCUCAUAAAUGUCUCUCCUCAGUGAGGACAGAUUUUGACUGUUUGAUCUCAAAUCAGGUAGGACUACCCGCUGAACUUAAGCAUAUCAAUAAGCGGAGGA
RNAcentral lists this unclassified non-coding RNA (402 nucleotides) under soil metagenome. RNAcentral describes it as "partial contains 5.8S ribosomal RNA, internal transcribed spacer 2, and large subunit ribosomal RNA". The stretch from base 1 to 121 matches the Rfam family "5.8S ribosomal RNA", at positions 35 to 154 of the family's 154-position model. The record is from RNAcentral.